RNAcentral lists this ribosomal RNA (613 nucleotides) under Cladonia bellidiflora. RNAcentral describes it as "eukaryotic LSU rRNA". The stretch from base 254 to 407 matches the Rfam family "5.8S ribosomal RNA". Lineage: Eukaryota; Fungi; Ascomycota; Lecanoromycetes; Lecanorales; Cladoniaceae. The record is from RNAcentral.
AAGGAUCAUUAAUGAGUUCGGGGGCCUAGCCCCCAGCGGUGAGUGUCUGUUCGAGUCCGUCAGGGCUCGGCCAGCGCUCGUCGUGUAUCUCAACCCCAUGUUUACCUUACCUUUGUUGCUUUGGCGGGCCUUGAGUAGGCUAUACGGCUCAUGCCGGCCCUCCGCGUUUUCUGCUGGGGGGCGGCUCGCGCCCGCCGGAGGUUCAAUUAAAUUCUGUUUAUUAGUGAAGUCCGAGUAAAAAUUAAAUAAUCAAAACUUUCAACAACGGAUCUCUUGGUUCUGGCAUCGAUGAAGAACGCAGCGAAAUGCGAUAAGUAAUGUGAAUUGCAGAAUUCAGUGAAUCAUCGAAUCUUUGAACGCACAUUGCGCCCCUUGGUAUUCCGGGGGGCAUGCCUGUUCGAGCGUCAUUACACCCCUCAAGCGUAGCUUGGUAUUGGACGUUCGCGGGCCCUCUUUGGGGGGCCUGCGCGUCCGAAAAACAGUGGCGGUCCCCGGGGAUUUCGCGCGUAGUAAAUAUUCUCCCGCGUUGGAAAGAACCGAUGGGCCCUGCCAAAACCCCCCAUAAAUCUCCAUGAUUGACCUCGGAUCAGGUAGGGAUACCCGCUGAACUUAA